AAGUUAACGAUAAUUAUAAAAAUAAGUAUUCGUUAUGACUUGCUUAAUUUAGGCAUGAUAAACUCCUAUUACAGUCAUAGAAUUUAAGUUAC
Molecule: small nucleolar RNA, 92 nt
Filed under: Theobroma cacao (cacao)
Lineage: Eukaryota; Viridiplantae; Streptophyta; Magnoliopsida; Malvales; Malvaceae
Description: Small nucleolar RNA snoR8a
Rfam family: Small nucleolar RNA snoR8a
Source: Rfam by way of RNAcentral